This 493-nucleotide ribosomal RNA is filed under the name uncultured bacterium. Its description in RNAcentral is "partial 16S ribosomal RNA". It matches the Rfam family "Bacterial small subunit ribosomal RNA", at positions 28 to 507 of the family's 1533-position model. The record is from RNAcentral.
GACGAACGCUGGCGGCGUGCUUAACACAUGCAAGUCGAACGGUGAAGGGACCGGUUUUUGCUGGUUCUGGAUGAGUGGCGAACGGGUGAGUAACACGUGAGUAACCUGCCCCCUUCUUCUGGAUAACCGCAUGAAAGUGUGGCUAAUACGGGAUAUUCUGCGCCUGCUGCAUGGUGGGUGUGGGAAAGAUAUUGUUUCGGUGGGGGAUGGGCUCGCGGCCUAUCAGCUUGUUGGUGGGGUGAUGGCCUACCAAGGCGGUGACGGGUAGCCGGCCUGGGAGGGUGGACGGUCACACUGGGACUGAGACACGGCCCAGACUCCUACGGGAGGCAGCAGUGGGGAAUAUUGCACAAUGGGCGAAAGCCUGAUGCAGCGACGCCGCGUGAGGGAUGGAGGCCUUCGGGUUGUAAACCUCUUUCGCCAGUGAAGCAGGCCUGUCCCUUUUGUGGGUGGGUUGACGGUAGCUGGAGAAGAAGCGCCGGCUAACUACGUG